Molecule: ribosomal RNA, 465 nt
Filed under: Vreelandella stevensii
Lineage: Bacteria; Pseudomonadati; Pseudomonadota; Gammaproteobacteria; Oceanospirillales; Halomonadaceae
Description: partial 16S ribosomal RNA
Rfam family: Bacterial small subunit ribosomal RNA
Source: RNAcentral
CCUACGGGCGGCUGCAGUGGGGAAUAUUGGACAAUGGGGGGAACCCUGAUCCAGCCAUGCCGCGUGUGUGAAGAAGGCCCUCGGGUUGUAAAGCACUUUCAGUGAGGAAGAACGCCUGGUGGUUAAUACCCAUCAGGAAAGACAUCACUCACAGAAGAAGCACCGGCUAACUCCGUGCCAGCAGCCGCGGUAAUACGGAGGGUGCGAGCGUUAAUCGGAAUUACUGGGCGUAAAGCGCGCGUAGGUGGCUUGAUAAGCCGGUUGUGAAAGCCCCGGGCUCAACCUGGGAACGGCAUCCGGAACUGUCAAGCUAGAGUGCAGGAGAGGAAGGUAGAAUUCCCGGUGUAGCGGUGAAAUGCGUAGAGAUCGGGAGGAAUACCAGUGGCGAAGGCGGCCUUCUGGACUGACACUGACACUGAGGUGCGAAAGCGUGGGUAGCAAACAGGAUGAGAUACCCCUGUAGUC